RNAcentral lists this transfer RNA (73 nucleotides) under Lachnospiraceae bacterium. Its description in RNAcentral is "tRNA-Thr". It matches the Rfam family "tRNA". From Rfam's summary of the family: Transfer RNA (tRNA) molecules are approximately 80 nucleotides in length. Their secondary structure includes four short double-helical elements and three loops (D, anti-codon, and T loops). The record is from RNAcentral. Lineage: Bacteria; Bacillati; Bacillota; Clostridia; Lachnospirales; Lachnospiraceae.
GCUGACGUGGCACAGUAGGUAGCGCACCGCAUUGGUAGUGCGGAGGUCAUGGGUUCGAUUCCCGUCGUCAGCA